ACAAAAACCCCAACAAGCCUGCCAGUUUGCUGGUGCCUGUGGUAAGGGGAAUAGCAAGAGACGUGUUUCAAC
Molecule: non-coding RNA, 72 nt
Organism: Pangasianodon gigas (Mekong giant catfish)
Lineage: Eukaryota; Metazoa; Chordata; Actinopteri; Siluriformes; Pangasiidae
Source: the annotation of a GenBank genome assembly